RNAcentral lists this ribosomal RNA (691 nucleotides) under Achromobacter aegrifaciens. Its description in RNAcentral is "bacterial SSU rRNA". It matches the Rfam family "Bacterial small subunit ribosomal RNA", at positions 838 to 1533 of the family's 1533-position model. The record is from RNAcentral. Lineage: Bacteria; Pseudomonadati; Pseudomonadota; Betaproteobacteria; Burkholderiales; Alcaligenaceae.
CCUUGGUAGCGCAGCUAACGCGUGAAGUUGACCGCCUGGGGAGUACGGUCGCAAGAUUAAAACUCAAAGGAAUUGACGGGGACCCGCACAAGCGGUGGAUGAUGUGGAUUAAUUCGAUGCAACGCGAAAAACCUUACCUACCCUUGACAUGUCUGGAAUUCCGAAGAGAUUUGGAAGUGCUCGCAAGAGAACCGGAACACAGGUGCUGCAUGGCUGUCGUCAGCUCGUGUCGUGAGAUGUUGGGUUAAGUCCCGCAACGAGCGCAACCCUUGUCAUUAGUUGCUACGAAAGGGCACUCUAAUGAGACUGCCGGUGACAAACCGGAGGAAGGUGGGGAUGACGUCAAGUCCUCAUGGCCCUUAUGGGUAGGGCUUCACACGUCAUACAAUGGUCGGGACAGAGGGUCGCCAACCCGCGAGGGGGAGCCAAUCCCAGAAACCCGAUCGUAGUCCGGAUCGCAGUCUGCAACUCGACUGCGUGAAGUCGGAAUCGCUAGUAAUCGCGGAUCAGCAUGUCGCGGUGAAUACGUUCCCGGGUCUUGUACACACCGCCCGUCACACCAUGGGAGUGGGUUUUACCAGAAGUAGUUAGCCUAACCGUAAGGGGGGCGAUUACCACGGUAGGAUUCAUGACUGGGGUGAAGUCGUAACAAGGUAGCCGUAUCGGAAGGUGCGGCUGGAUCACCUCCUUU